CGGUGCUGCUGGCACCUGCAGAAGCCUGGUGACACACUCCAAGGUGCCCAGAAACGUUGGCAAAAGAGUUAGUGGUCCAACAGCACUAUCACAGUGACGUCUCUGUCCACAGACCCAGGUCUUUGGUGAACCUUCUUAUUCUCUAUUCUUGUAGCAGGGAUAACUAGAGUUAGGUGAGCAGGGGUUUGGCUCUGAGGACAUCAGGAGAAUGCACGCCUCCCAGGCAAAGUGGCUGGGCCAUUGGAAGGUGAAUAGGGGUCCAGAAGAAGCCACCACAGCCACAAGAGAAUUGAAUCAGGGGAUAUACCUCUCCCUUUCCCAGUGGAAUAUCCAACUGUAUCCACAGGAAGAAGAAAUGUUAGUACCCUUCCAGGCAUCUGUCCUGCCGCUUGUGGGCCUGUUGGCCACUGGGUCUGCUGUCUGAAUCAGGGCUUACUGGAGGCAAUGCUGCUGUGGUUUCCUCUCUAGAGACCUUGGUCUUCAGUCUGGGCUGUGCUCUACAAGAGAGAAGUGCCCCAGAACAGUCUUUUCUCAGUGCUGGAUGAGGCAGGAACACUAUGUGAUGGGCCUUCCUCAGCCAAAACUCAUUACAGAACCUUCUGGGGAGGAGGGAGAGAUCUUCCUGAGGCUUCAAGAGAGGAACCAGCUAAUCAGGCUGUGCCUCAACUGCAGUGACAGAGACCAGACCUUGAAGCACUGUCACAAUAUUCCCUGCUAUGAGGAUAACCAGCUACACAUCAAAGCUGAAAAAUGUCUAAGAAAGCCGAGGAGGCUUUCAAGCACUGUGGAUGAGACUCUCUGCAAGCCCACAGACUGAAGUAUGCUGACUGUAUUGGAGGUUGACAUGUCAGAGGUAAGAGUACGUAGAGUUGUGUCCCAAUGACAGGAAAAACAUGGGAACUCUUCCCAUAUUCAAACAAACUGCCCCCCACAGAGAGAAAUUAUGAUAUUGGAAAUUGGGAGUUGCUUGCACUUAAACUAGCCUUGGAGAAGUGAUAUCAUUUGUUGGAUAUAUUUCAUGUAUUUUAUUGCCCUGCUUCUAAGAAUAACAGCGCUGAAACACUAUCUUGAUUAGGUGAAGAAGAGCCUAUAGUACAAGAGAUUGGACCCAUACAUUAUUGAACACCAACUAUUCAGGAAUACAGAGGACCAUGUAGUUCCUCACUGAGAGGUAUACUCUCCAUCACGACACUUAUGUAUGAUCCUGCUCGAUCUGUGCCAUGACCAGGAUUACACAUCACACUCCAACAGAUAAACUGCUCUCUCUUCCUCGUAUCACAUGUCUGUAGACUUCCUCACUGAUCUUUCUAAAUCUGUAACACAGAAUUAAAGCUAUAACACAUUUAAUAGUGGAGACUUCUCAAAGGGAUGCUGUAUCAUUCCCUGUUAGGGACUGUACAGUGUUUUCAAGGUUGCUAAGGCCCUGUUCAUUAAGUGCAGACUUCAGCAUUACUCAGGCUAACGCCCCCUAACUACAGUGUACAAGAGGGAACUUGGAGAGGUUCCUCCUAAGCUACUGGACUACCCUCUCCACUGGGCAAAGGUCAUCCCCUUGGGCUGAAUAUGCCCAAAACUCACUUUGCCAUUCAUAGUGAAUUAACCCCAUUUCAGUGUGUGUUGGGUUACAUACACUGAACUCCUGGGCUAGAGUCUGGAAGAGGAAAAGUGGUUUGCCAGACAGAGGAAACAGACAGCAUGGCCCCUGCUUACCAGCAUGGUUAUCAAUUCUGGAAGUUCACAAGAAACAUCUGUCUAAACUUGCCUUGUAUGAAGAUGAGCUUCAAAUAUGUGAGGCUUUUAAAUCUAUCCAGUCAUUUAUAAGUUUAUGGUUCUCUCUACUUACCAAAUUUCAUCUACUUUUAAUGUUUUGCUCCUUAGGCAGGUGAUUCCUGGUCUCUUGUCAGAGAUGAUUACCCUGAAGCUUCCCCCUCCUCUGUUGUACAUGGAAGACACCCAUGCUUACACAGUUUAUUCUCUUCUGAGCCUUCAUCAGUUUCCUCUAUAACAUUGUCACUGUUUUCAUGGCAUCAUUUGCCAUGUGUUUCUAUUUUCCUUUUGUUCCCAUGGUGUUAUUUGCUAUGUGGUUUUGUAUUAUUUGUCAGCUCUGUCCUUGUUUAAUUUUUUGUGAAUCCCUGCCCAGUAUUGUUUCACCUGUGUAUUCUACUAAUGUACCUGUUUAUUUAAACUUUGUGUUGUGUUGUCCUAAUGGUCAGUUCUUUGUAUUUGUUCUUAUGAAUUUCUGUUGCAUGUGUCUGCUUAGUAUAUGUGGAAACUCUGGUAAUCUCAGUUGUGUUUGAUCUCUCAAUUUCAGUAUCUGUUUUGUUUAAAUCUUGCCCUGUUUGCAUUGUAGUAUUCCUUUUAUUUCCCUCAUUUCUCAUAAAUCUGAAUUGCAGUUGCAUUCUGUGCUACAUCUCACAUUCGGUAUACCACAACCAGAGUAGCAACUGUAUCUAGUCUCAUCAUUGUGUGACAGACAUGCUAAACACAGGAGAGGAAGACAGACUUUGCAAGGACAGGGUAAUAAAGAAUGCUAACUUAAUAGCAAAUAUAAAAAGCCUGAAGCUGAGGGUCUAAUCAGUUCCACAGAUAUGCUCUGCACAUGGUGGGAUGCAGCACAUGGACUCAGAGGAGAUUCGGCAGGGUGCUGGAAUCCCUUUUGUCAGAGCAUAUGAAACAUCUCCCCAAGCUGCAGCUUCAGGAGCUGAAAUCAGAAGUGAUGCAAUGAGAUCAAAGAAGCCCUUGAAUCACAAGAACAAAUGGGAAGUGAGGUCUAUCAAACUCAGAGACCCUCAAGGCUGAGCUACUUACAGUGUCCACAGUUGCUAUGUUUACAUGCUGUUUAAA
Molecule: non-coding RNA, 2844 nt
Organism: Electrophorus electricus (electric eel)
Lineage: Eukaryota; Metazoa; Chordata; Actinopteri; Gymnotiformes; Gymnotidae
Source: RefSeq, a predicted model, not a curated record